RNAcentral lists this ribosomal RNA (119 nucleotides) under Pteropus alecto (black flying fox). Lineage: Eukaryota; Metazoa; Chordata; Mammalia; Chiroptera; Pteropodidae. The record is from RNAcentral.
UUCUACAGCCAUGCCACCCUGAACAUGCCUGAUCCCAUCUUAUCUCGGAAGCCAAGCAAGAUUGGGCCUGGUUAGUACUUGGAUGGGAGACCAUCUAGGAAGACCAGGUGCUGUAGGUG